This is a long non-coding RNA of Salvelinus fontinalis (brook trout), 12628 nucleotides long. RefSeq lists it as uncharacterized. The record is from RefSeq and is a predicted model, not a curated record. Lineage: Eukaryota; Metazoa; Chordata; Actinopteri; Salmoniformes; Salmonidae. The transcript has 5 exons.
UGUAGAGCAUUUAACACAAAAUCCAGAGGUGCCAGCUGAGUAUAGGACUGUAUCAUCUGCAUAGAAAUGGAUGAGAGAGCUUCCUACUGCCUGAGUCAUGUUGUUUAUGUAAAUUGAGAAGAGCGUGGGGCCUCGGAUCAAGCCUUGGUGACAAGCAGUGGCUGAAACAGCAGAUGUUCUGACUUUAUACACUGCACUCUUUGAGAGAGGUAGUUAGAAAACCAGGCCAAAGACCCCUCAGAGACAAUACUCCUUAGUCGGCCCACAAGAACAGAAUGGUGUACCGUAUCAAAAGCUUUGGCCAAGUCAAUAAAAAUAUCAGCACAACAUUGCUUAGAAUCAAGUGCAAUGGUGACAUCAUUGAGGACCUUUAUUAAGGUUGCAGUGACACAUCCAGAACCUGAGCUGAAGCCAGAGUGCAUACCCGAGAAUACUAUAGACAUCCGGAAAGCAAGUCAGUUGAUUAUUGACAAGUUUUUCCAACACUUUUGAUAAACACGGCAAAAUAGAAAUAGGCCUAUAACAGCAUAUCUCGAGGAGGUAGAUUACACAACUCUUACUUUUAGAUUAAUUUAAUCUCUAUAUUAAAAUUUUGGAGCGCCCCGGGCUAAAGUCCUGUAAAUUCAAGCCAGUGGCAUAAAUGUGUGGCAUAUCGCUGUCGUUGAAUCCGUUCCUGUGUUGCUGUUCUGUGUUGCCAUGUUCGCGGUGUUCCAGACAAAUUGGGCCACUUUGAAAAUGAUGUUGCGGGUGAAAAUGUAUUGGUAGUGGGGUUUUGGGCUAUUUCUAAAGUACACUGCGGCCGCCAUUGCAUUUCUCUUAAAAAUAUAUAUCACUAUGACCUGCUGCUGACUGUCAGCCAGUGAGGCAGGCUGUUGCUGAGUGAGUGGUUGGGAGGACUGGAGGAGUGUGUGUGUGUGUUGAGAGAGCACUACGGCAUUGGCUGAGUCAGGUGAGCGUGAGGAGAGCAGCAAGUGGGCACGUUGUGACAACUUUUACCAGUUGUAGCUAGACUAUUUAGAUUGUCAUUAUGGAGACACCGAUUUCCAAACCUUUUUCCAUAAGACAUAUUAAUGCGCUAGAACUGAUGCACAUCGAGAAAUAAUGCAGACAAAGUACUGGAAUAUGACUUUGGGCACACUAGAGAGCAUUCCAUAAAUCCGCUAGGAGGUGGUUUAAACUGCAUUCUAAUGUUGACUGCUUAAAGACAAUGGUACCAAGCGAAGUGCUUUAUGCAUGCUCAGUUCUUGGGUCUCUGGGGCUGCCAGAGUAGAAAUUUGAAAUAGAAGUUAUGGAACUCCCUCACGUGGUUCUUUUUAAUGGGGGAAAAGUCCUCAAUGCAACUGACAUUAGACUAAAUGUGGAGAAUUAUACAUUUGCCUCUGUUGGCCAUGAAGUAGCCUAUUCAUGUAUAUGCCAUUGCAGUCUACCAUUUGAUACAAUACAAUAAUGUUGAAAUGACGAUAUCACUGGAGUCAUUGCAAAUCAAUUCGUGCCACUUGUGUAGCCUACCUGGAGCUGGAAAACUAAUUUAAUAAAUAGCUUAACUUGAGUUUAUUGUUGUUGUAGCCUUGUGUAAUUAGGAGCACGUUAGAUUGGCGGUAACAGUAGUCAGAUUAGGCUGCAGUUAAAACUAAAAAAAUAAACACUGGCUGUUGUUGACAAGCAUAUUCCGUUCAUAAACAUAUUAAUAUUUAAUUCAGUGAUUGAAAUGACAACAUCCUCAGUAACCUAUUCCAGCAGAUUUAUUGCGAAAUCGCCUUGCUAAUCAUGUUGAAUAAAUUAGUCUGUUAAUUUGAACUAAGCAAACUGCUAAAUCGUUCAGUUUACAUCUUGCCAACAUCUUUUCUAGGCUACUGUAGAUUAUAUUAAAUGAGAUGUAGGCCUAUCAGGGGCCAUCCAUCACCUGCCAUUAUCUAAGCAAACUAUGGCAAUUUUAUUAGAAUCAUUAACCCAGAUUUUAAUCUGUAGCCUAUGUCUAUUGAAAUGACAAGUCAAUCUCGCAAAUGGAACAUUUAUAACAAUUUGUAGUCUUAACAUCUGGCACAUAAUAACAGCACAAUUGCCAGAAAACAGCCUGACAUAAGUUUUUUUUAAUGUUCAUCCAAGUGUUUUUUAGAUCCUCUAUCAUCACUCAAACGCUCCUGUCGGAUGUAUCUAUAGUUAUGCACAAAGGGGAUUCAUUUUUAAACCUGGUUCGAGCCCUGAAUGCUGAAAAACGUGGUAUAUCAGAACAUAUACCAGGGGUAUGACAAAACAUUACUUUUUACUGUUCUAAUUACAUUGGUAACCAUUUUAUAAUAGCAAUAAGCCACCCCCGGGGUUUGUGGAAUAUGGCCAAUAUACCAUGGCUAACGUCUGUAUCCAGGCACUCUGCGUUGUGUCAUGCAUAAGAACAGACCUUUUCUAUUUGAUUUUUAUUUAACCUUUAUUUAACUAGGCAAGUCGGUUAACUUUUUUCAUUCAACUUUUUCACCCGGACAUUUUAUCUGGACAUGAUUCUACAGGACCUCCACCAGCCGAAAAAGCUAAGUAGUUACAUUAACACUAAUUGCAGCCAUCUAAUUGCAGUCACUGUACUCAUAAUAUACAAGAGAACUAUUGCCUUAUGGUGAGGAUAGUCGUGUGGCAAGCCCAGCUUCAGAUGCAAUCGUUAGGCAAGGGCAAUUUAAAUAUAGGAAAGUAUGAAACAGCAUCUGUGCCACCAGUAAGUACAGAUAGUAGUAUAAAUCUCUCCACAAAGUCCCCGCAGCCGAACAAUUUUCUCAAGGCUUCUGGAAAGAAAUGUGUCGAUCAUUCAUCCGACAAAAACUUUCAACCGGUUCUCUCCAUUAAAUUAAGGGUGUAUUCGUAAAUUCAAUCUGGAGUGCCAGAGACCGCUCAGAGUGCGCUCUGGACGUUCGUAAAUUCUGAGUUUGCCAGAUUGUCAGUUUCGUAAAUUCAGAGCAUUUCGCUCUCGGAGCUUUCAGAGCGCACACUGGACGCUCUGACCAAGGUGUAGGAUUGAUCCGAGCGUUCUGACCUCACAACGGCAGUCAAGCUCCCAAGCUAACUGGCUAACGUUGGAUAGCUUUCUAGCUACUUCCAGACACAAAUGAGAGAACACCUCACUCUGUUUUACUCACCUUAGCAGAGCUGGUUAGGCUAUCCAGAGUGUUGAUGACUGUAACUGGGCUGCUGGCAACAAUUUAAUUACGCAGUUAGUGCUAACCACAGCUGCUAGAAUCUUGACUAGAACCAACAAAAUUGAUCAUAUUACCCCAGUGCUAGCCUCUCUCUACACUGGCUUCCUGUUAAGGCUAGGGCUGAUUUCAAGGUUUAACUGCUAACCUAUAAACAUACGUACGCAAAGGUCACAAGACGCAAUUCUACUUAUUGUCCCUAGAAUUUAUAGGCAAACAGCUGGAGGCUUUCUCCUAUAGAGCUCAAUUUUGAUGGUAUGGUGUGCCUACCCAUGUGAGACACAGACUCGGUGUCGACCUUUUAAGUCUUUACUAAAGACUCAUCUCUUCAGUAAGUCCUAUGGUUAAAUGUGUGGGUGCGAAGGUGAUCGACAAGGCACUGGUCUCUCUCGCUCUCGCUACUAACCAGUUGUACCCUCUACAACCACUGUGAACAUUGGAACAUCUUGAAUAACAAUCUGGCCUUAAUGGCCAUGUACUCUUAUAAUCUCCACCCGGCACAGCCAGAAGAGGACUGGCCACCCCUCAGAGCCUGGUUCCUCUCUAGGUUUCUCCCUAGGUUCCUGCCUUUCCCAGGGAGUUUUUCCUAGUCACCGUGCUUCUACAUCUGCAUUGCUUGCUGUUUGGGGUUUUAGGCUGACUUUCUGUAUAUCACUUUGUGACAUCUGCUGAUGUAAAAAGGACUUUAUAAAUACAUUUGAUUAAUUUAUCAACACCACCGGUGGAUUAGAUAACUUUAUUAAUUUAGCUAAUUAUGGUUGCUAAUUGGCUGAAAAAAAUGUUUUUACUUCACACAUCACACAUUUUAUGUACAGACCUAUGUGAUUUCACUUCUCAGAAGUUUCUCAGCAAGAUGAGGGUUCACUACAAAAGCUGCAGGAAGUACCUUGAGGAGUACGGCACCCCUCUUGACGCACCACCCACACCAGUCUCACCAACGACUCAGGAAGUCAGCCGUGUAUCUGUGGAUACGAUCCACAUGACUGGGCAAGUAUACAGAAACUGAAUCCACCGAAUCAUAGGUGACUAACCACCUUGAUUUGGUCUUAUGUAGCAACAUUUGAAUUUUUGUUUUUUUUACAUUGGAUAAAAGCAGACACAGCACAAAAAAAUGGUAUAUCACACAUUGCAUUUGAGGAACAAUGGGAAAGUAAUUCUGCUUUGAAAGUUGAUAAACUUGUAACCUCACUUUUGAGAAAAUGGCCUUUGAAUGUUUUGGUACUGUCACGUUCCUGACCUAUUUCUGUUAGUUUGUUGUAUGUGUUAGUUGGUCAGGACGUGAGUUUGGGUGGGCAUUCUAUGUUGUCUGUUUCUAUGUUGGUUUAGGGUUGCCUGGUAUGGCUCUUAAUUAGAAGCAGGUGUUUGGCGUUCCUCUAAUUGAGAGUCAUAUUUAGGUAGGUUGUUUCACAGUGUUCGUUGUGGGUGGUUGUCUCCUGUGUCAGUGUUUGUUGCACCAUACGGGACUGUUCGGUUUGUUUUUUACAUCGUCAUUUUGUGUAGUCUAUUUUCCCUGUUCGUGCGUUCUUCGUGUUUAAUGUAAGUUCGUCGUCCAGGUCUGUCUACUCCGUUUGUUGUUUUGUUAGUUAUAGUGAAGUUCGUGUUUUUUCGUCUUUUCUUUAAAUAAAUUAUGUGUUCACAACCCGCUGCGCCUUGGUUCCAUCACUACUCCUCCUCUUCGGUUGAAGAGGAGGAGGACCACCGUUACAGGUACCUACUGGAGAGCUCUUCUUUGUCUACACCCAUUUAGCAUCGUUCACACCCUCUUAAACAUUAGCCCCACCCAUCUUUUUAAGGUUUGAUCCAACAGCAGUCAAGCACCCAAGCCAACUUGCUAGCUACUUCCAGACACAAAUGAGAGAACAGCUCACUGACCAUUACUUGCCCUAGCAGAGCUGGUUAGGCUGUUUUUAUGUUAUCCAGACCGUUGCUGCUGGCAACAAUUUAUGUAUAUUCAACGGGUGUUGAGCAUUCGUAAAUUUGACUAUUAUCCUGCGUAAAUUUACCAGCUACGUCUAUCAACAGUUGUCGCAGUGACAUUCUAUUGAAGGGUGUGUUCGUAAAUUCAUUCUGGAGUGCCAGAGUGUGCUUUGGGCGUUCAUAAAUUCAGAGCAUCUUCAGAUUGUCUGUUCGUAAAUUCAGAGUGUUUCGCACUCGGAGCGUUCAGAGCACAAAUUGGACGCUCUGGCAGAUGAGUAGGGUUGAUCCAAGCAUUCUGACCUCACAACGGCAGUCAAGCACCAAAGCUAACUGGCAAACAUUGGCUAGCUUCUUCCAGACACAAAUGAGAGAACACCCCACUCGCACCAUUUUACUCACCCUAGCAGAGCUGGUUAGGUUCUUUUUAUGUUAUCCAGAGCGUUGGUGACUGUAACUGUGCUGCUUGCAACAAUUUAAUUACGCUUUUUUCACGACGUUUACUGACAUCGGCCAUAUUCAACGGGUGUUGAGUUCGUAAAAUAAUCAAUUAUUCUGUACACUGGCACACUCAGACGAGAGUUCACCUGAAAUCGGAGUAGCUGGCCAGACUGAAUUUACGAACGCACCCAAAAUGGUUACGUGCAUAGUGAUGUCUUUUGUUAAGACAUGUAGCUAGCUAGCUAGGGAAACAAUUAACCAUAAUCGCAACUCAUGACGCUACUACCCUGCAUGAAUCUGCAGGUAGCUAAUCAACCAGGUUCAAUGUUAGAUAGCUAACAUUAGGCUAUAACUAGCAAAGCAAAUGGCUCUGAGAUCCGAAUAAGAAGAUCAUACACAUAACGUUAACUAGCGAGCCAGCCAGCUAACGUUAACUAGCUAACAGUACAUUUUAACUUGAAAUGAAACCACUUUCCAUCAAAAUUAGAAAAGUGUAAUAUCUGAAAAUGUAGCUAGCUAGACAAUCUUACCCAUGCGUAUCAUGGAUUCAGUGGCGAAAAUCUGAGAUCAACCUUGGAGGGGACAAUUACAUUAAAUUUUCUCAAGAGCAAUUCCUGAGGGGGACACCAAAAGUAGUGCUGUAACACAUAGCAUACGUUGUUAAAUGUAUAUUGAGGAACCAUAAUUCCUACAACUGGAUAAUUGAUAGGUACAGUAGUUAACUGAAGGGUUUUCCCAACUUAUUCAAAUGUUUAAAUCAUUAUAAUUCUACUACUAAUAAUAGUUAUAGCAGUGCUCCUUACCAGUCCAGUAUGUAUGCAGGUAUUCGUACUUACAACCAGCAAUAUCAAGAAAGGUCAGUAGGUGACAAUGGUACUGUACACUGUAUGGGUGUAGUUUUCAUAAAUACAAUGAACAUGGUGUGAUCACAUCUAAAAGAAUCUCCAUUGAGAACCAUCACAAAGUUGGUCUCCGUAUUGAAUUGACCUUUUAAUUUGACUUUUUCUGAUACAUUUAUAUAGUCAUUAAAUAUGUCCACCUGGCCUGAGUCUAUUACAAUAUCUUUGCAAGAACAAAAAGCUUAAAAUAAGUACAGUUCUAAAAGCAAAAUAACUACUUCAAUGAAAAACCCAAAUAAAUCAACCAAAAUAUCCUUCAGUCAGUGUCUCAACUUUUCAAACAGCAGCUAUGGACAAGUAUGUCGCACAAAGUAUGCAAUUUUAACUUCUUGAGAAUACAGGGGGUGCUGUUUCGCAUUAGCAUAAUUGCCUCUACAGAUUAAACUGCCUCUUAUUCAAUUAUUGCUGUUACUAUAUGCAUAUAACCAUAUACCAUUGGAUAGAAAACAAGCUAUGGUUUCUAAAACCGUUCCAAUUUCGUCUCUGAGUGAAACACAGGUCAUUUCACAGCACUUUCCCUGAGCCAGAAGAAGAUUGCAAGAUGUGUAUGCUCGCUUCAACGCUCUGCCUAUAUAUGGUCAUGCCACCUAUGACCCGAAACAGACUUCGUUCUUCUUCCUCUAGGUGUCAGGAAGUUGUCAGAGGAGAAAUUUUUUGUUUAUCUUGUACUGACGUGAAAUAAGACCUAUUUCUUUAGCGUGACCGACAACUUCCGGUUUUCUCAGAAGCGCGUCUUAGAGCUGCCAUUGUCUUUUGUUAUGCUGACGUUACGGAUGAAAACUAUCUCCGUCUCGAAGUUUGUUUGAUACAUGUGACCAUAUCACCGUAAUGUAUGUUUUUUCAAUAUAGUUUAAUCAGAUUAUUAGAAUUUUUUCGGGAGUUUUGCCGUGUUCCGUUCUUUGAGUUUUUUAACUUUGGACAGGGACCGUGCCAGUCGACCAGUACCCAGGCUAAAUGAAGAGGGGAAGUUGCCAUUGUGAAUGGAUUGAACGACUCAUCAGGACUAAGGACACCUUGAUCAACAUUCUGAUGAAAGAUCAGCAAUAGAUUCUACCAGGACAGCCCACACAAACACAGAUAUCUGAAUUGGUUAGGCCCAGAGUGUUGACGUUGGGGUUCCUGGGAGGAAGGGUGUACUCCUGCCCAUACUGCCCCCUGCAGGGGCUCACAGACAUGAGACUGGUCCAGCACUGUGUUGGCAGCCACACAGGAGAGAAUGCUCCAGCUGUGUGUCCCAUCUGUGCUGCCACUGUUUGGGGUGAUGCUAGUUACUGCAGCCGAAACCUCAUCGGUCACCUGGCUAUCAGGCAUUGUUUCAGCUAUGACACCUACAUGAAUGUAGGGGAGGACGACUACACCCAACUCUGCCUUGCCAUUCAGCUGUCACUGCAACAAGGCACCGGCAUCACAGAGUGACAACAAGGCCCUAAGAGAGCUACACUUUAUGUUCCAACACAAUACAUACCUCUUCAACCGCUCCUUGCCACGUCAAUGAUGUUACUUAUUGUAUCGUAUGGAAAGCAAUUGCAUAUCCCUUUUGCUUUGAGUUAUUAUUCUGUAUUUCAUUUUCAUUCCACUUUCACACAAUGUGUCCAUUACAGUAGGUCUAGUCCUUGGUGGGUUCUUCAAGUUAACUCCAUUGAAGUGAAAUCACAUUCCCAGCAACAUGUUUUAUGAAAAUAAUGGGUGUGUUUUGAAAAGAUACUGAGAAUUCAAGGCAAUUUGAAAGUAAAUUGAAGAUGAGCAGUGUGUAGUAGACUAUGAUGCAUUUUCUCACCAUAGCUCUUAAAAAUUCCAGGUUGGUUAGGAAUUAUACAAUAGAGUGUGUGAUUAUGUACAGUUAGUCAGGUAGAUUUAUGUAAAGGUUCUACUCAUGAAAUGAUGUUCACAGACAAGUUUUGCUGUGGGGCAUCCAAUGCUCAUAGAACAUGGAUCUGUACUGAGUAGACAAAACAUUAGGAACACCUCUAUCCAUGACCUAGACUGACCAGGUGAAAGCUAUGAUCCCUUAUUUCACCUGUUAUAUCCACUUCAAUCAGUGUAGAUGAUUUGAUUUGAUUAGGAUCUCUUGUAGUCAUAAUUUGGACUAAUCUUCCAAGAGUCCUUAAACAUUAAAAUACAAUUUAUAAUAUGAUCACAUUUUCACAUAUAACACACUGUUACAAACAGACAUAAUACACUGACAUAUUGACCAGAUAAAUACUCUAAUAGAAUGAUUCCUUCAUCUACCAUAGUCCUACACAACCUUACGGUUUAUUGUAUUUAAAUGGUUCUAAAGUAUUGAGGAAGGGAAGCUCUACUAAGGUACACUAUAGUAUAUUUUGGUAGAUAGAAGGUGCUCUUUGGUAAAAGGUGUAAAUAGGUCAUCAAAAAGAAAGGAGGACCAAGGCACUCUUCAUAUAAUUAAUUAAAAUGCCUUUAUUAGUAUGGCAUGUUCAAUAGAAACAACGUUUUAAAAAUCCGAUGUGUUUCGGCUGCAUGGCCUUCGUCAGGGGGUACAAAGAAACAAUACAAUGGCCUCUUUUGAACAGCUUUUCCAAUUAGGCCUAAUUUUAAGAGGAAGUGGUUACACAAUUGAUUGGACACACCUAGUAAGCAAUACUAUACACAUUAAAAAGUGAAAUACUGUAGCUAUGUUAUCAAAAAAUUCAACUCCAAGCUAGAAGUAUCAGAGUGCCUAGAAAGGUAGUUCUAACCUUAAAUAUGACUGGGAGAAGUGUCAAGAGUAAGAGAGCAAUAUAUUCCAUAGUACACUAGAACACAGCAAAACAUGAACAACAACAGUCUAAACAUAGCUGAGGGCAAUUGAGCAAAAUGUCCACUAGAUGACAGCAAAUGGACCCAUCACGACCCUACAGGAAGGGUGAGAAAUCCAUAUCUUCAUUUAAACCAGGGUACUUAGUGGCCUGUAGUUUGUAAAUCUAUAUCUUCAUUUAAACCAGGGUACUUAGUGGCCUCUAGUUUGUAAAUCCCAAAACUUUCCCUUUGGUUUAACUGUUUUCUAAUAGAGGCCGGAACAUGAUCAAUACCAAUAGCUUGUAGGGAGGCAGGGGUGCCAUGGUGUAAGGACUUGUAGUGCCUUGCCAUGGUGUAGUCUUCAUUGCGUACUUGUGUUCCGCUAAGCGUUCUUGAAGGCGUCUCUUUGUCUGUCCAAUGUAGAACACCUUGCACUGUGGAUAUUCCAAUCUAUUGAUGACAUGCGUGGUUUUGCAGUUAAUGAAAUGCUUGACGUAAUACUCCAUUUUGGAAGCUGUGUCAACAAAAUACUUUUUCUGUGCAAUAUUUCUGCAAUGGUUGCACUGGUUACAUUUAAAAGAGCCCUUGGGUUUGUGGUCAAGCCAAGUUUUUUGAGAGUCACCAGGAGGAUAACUGUGGACUAAUUUGUCAUUUAGGGUAGGACAUCUCUUAAAGCUUAUGACUGGUGGCUCAGGGAAGACUUGGCAUAGUAGCGUAUUACUUUUGGAUGAUUCCCCAAUUAUUUUUAAUGAUUCUUAUAAUGUUCUCUGCUUCAGUGCUGUAUUUUGUAACAAAAUACACUCUCUCUGAUGUAUCACAAGGCACUCCCCUUUGCAACAAGUUCUCUCUGUCAGGUAUUCUAACCCUUAUACCUGCAUCUUUCAGGACCUAAACAUGCCAUACAAAUAAAGGCAUUUGAAUUAAUUAUAUGAAGAGUGCCUUGGUCCUCCUUUCUUUUUGGGUUCUAAAGUAUUGUUUGAAUUUAUAUAUUGAACGUUUUUUGGUUUGCUCAGACAAAUUAUUCAAUUCAUUAUUGCUCUGAAUCGAAAUGUUAUUCUACCAAUUUAUCUUUUCUGCCGGGAUAACACAUAGAUGGACAAUCUAUUCUUAGUAUUGACUGAAUGUCUUUCUCUUACCAACUGAAUGGAGUUUGGCCGUUUCAAAAGAUGUACAUUGUGAAAUAAAAUAAGCAUGUUUUUUUCCAAUUAUCUUAUUGAUUAAUGACCAAGCAAAAGCACUGUGCAUGACAACAGAAUAAUCAUAUCUCCAACUUAAAACAAUCCUUGCUGCUUUGUUCUGUUCAAUCUGCAGCCUCCUAAUUUCACUUGCUGAUACAUUUCCAGAGACCAUAGAACAGUAAUUCACCUGACUCCCAAUUAAUGCUUGGGUUGUAUGCUUAAGAAUCUUUCCCAGUAAAUAUUUAGGUAUCCUUCUGAUCAUGCAAGUAAUGCAGGUAAUGCAGGUAAUUUAAAAAAAACAAAGAUUAGUUAUUUGAGACGACCAUGAUAAGCAGUUGUCUAGCUGCACCCCUAGUAGUUUGGUUUUUGACACUUCCUCAAUUUGUUCUCCCCCCAUACUUAAUUGCAUCCCAUGCUGUGUCGGCCUUCUCCUGGUGGAACAAACCAACAUAACCUUGGUUUUCUUGGUGUUGCAAAAGAAGUUUGUUCUGUAAAACCCACUCCCUAAAAUGUCCAAAAUCUACUUGUAGAGCUUGCUGUACCCUUUGAACCGAUUGUCUUGCUGUAUAAAUUUUAGUAUCAAAUAUAGUAGCUUGAGUUUCAGAUAAGGCAUAAGGAAGGUUGUUGGUAUUUAUUAAGUAAAGAAGUGGCCCAAGGAAGCUGCCCUGCGGUAUUCCACAGCUUAAAGCAUGAGGAGAAGAAAACGACCCAUUGAUAUAGGUGGACUGUUUCCUGUCAGUUAGAUAUGACUGUACCCAAUUCAAUACUGCAACAAUUUUGUACAAAUUAUUUCAUGAUCCACUAAAUCAAAUGCUGUACUAACAUCCCCAAAAUAGUACACCCACAAACCUGCCAUUAUUCAUAGCAUUGAGCCACUGGUCAGUCAUGUCAACAAUGCAGUGGUAGUGGAAUGGUUUUGCGAUAAGCAAGCUGAUUGGUUGUGAUCAGAUCAUUCUUUUCCAUAUACUCCCAUAUUUGGGGCGGCAGGUAGCCUAGUGGUUAGUGUUGGGCCAGUAACCGAAAGGUUGCUAGAUCAAAUCCCUGAGCUGAUAAGGUAAAAAUCUGUCGUUCUGCCCCUGAACGUUCUGCCCCACAGUUCCUAGGCUGUCAUUGUAAAUAAGAAUUUGUUCUUAACUGUCUUGCCUAGUUAAAUGAAGGUUAAAUAAAUAAAAUAUUUGUCUACUCAGAAUAACCUCCAAUAUCUUACUGAGUGAAGGGAGUAGACUAAUUGGUUGACUAUUGGCAGGAGUAAUGGGUUCUUUGCUGUUGGGAUUGGACACAGUUUAGCAUGCUUCCAUACAUUUGGAAAUGUCCCCCUUUCCAGUGACCAAUUAAAUAUGUAUUUCAGUGGAGCUGCAAUCUGGGGAGCAGCAUAGUGAAGUAAAAAUUGAAGGGGUGGAGAAAAGUUAAAGAUGGAAUUUUAAGCCUUGUGAACUUUUGAGACAUGGAUUGUGUAUGUGUGCAAUUGCGGGUGAAUGGGCAAGACAAUAUAAUUAAGUGCCUUUGAACGGGGUAUGGUAGUAGGUGCCAUGCGCACCGGUUUGAGUGUGUCAGGGAACUGCAACGCUGCUGUUUCCCCCCCCCCACACGUAACAGUUUCCUGUGUGUAUCAAGAAUGGUCCAACACCCAAAGGACAUCCAGCCAACUUGACACAACUGUGGGAAGCAUUGGAGUCAACAUGGGCCAGCAUCCCUGUGGAAUGCUUUCGACAUUUGUAGAGUCCAUGCCCGACAAAUCGAGGCUGUUCUGAGGGCAAAAGAGGGUGCAACAUAAAAUUAGGAAGGUGUUCCUAAUAUUUUGUAUACUCAGUGUAUAUAAUAUAGAGGCUAUUGCAGCACUUAGCAACCAAACAGACUGUUAUCACAAACACUUUCUCUCCCUUGAGGUUCCCAAUAACUGCCAGUGUGAUAUGCUUGUUAGCAACUGUCCUGCCAUACUUGUUGCUUUAUUUAUGUAUGUCUGGUAUGUGUUAGACAAAUCAUAUAGCUAAAUUGGCAAACUAUUACUAAUGCUGUCAAUCUGGUGGUAAAGGUUAUAAAGUAUAGAAAUAUACAUUUUCAUAUCGUCUUGUCACAGUCAGUAUGAGUAUAAGUAUUGAUAAUUGCAAUGUAGGUUGUCAAGAUAGUCAAACGCCCUUUUCACUGUUCAUAACGAUCUGACACUUUUUAAUGACUAGACAUGAUUAAACACAACUAAAUGUUUCCCUGUUUUAGCUCUCAUAAAACGCAUAACGGUUUGAGCUUUGUGAACAAUAAUGGUGCAGUGUGAUUUCAAAUGUGA